CCUUCUACCUCAGCCUCCUGCGUAACUGGGACUGCAGGGCUUGUGCGAAAUGAUUAACACAUACUCUGCUAUGAUAUCUUCACAACAACUGGAGCUAAAUAUUAUUAUCCUCAUGAUCCAUGGCCACUGCAAGUUCUCCACCCCUCCACAAGAAUAAGGCUGUUUCAAGCAGUAUCCUGCCCACAUCCCAACCUACCCACCUGCGAGGGAUGAACCACCCAACCAAAAGGAGAGUGCAUUUCCCUCACCUGUGUAAGAUUGAUUUUCCCAGCUACUACCUCUGAGCCACAAGUUUUCUGUUGUACACAGAUUUAUUCCAGUUAGCUUCAGCUUUGCAGACAGUUAGCAGGGUAGUUCUACUUUGAUCUUCCAGCCAAUCCCAGCCACAAGUGGGAGAUGUGAGUUUGGACCAGAGCCAAAUCCUUGGGAGGAGCAAGAAGAGACUUCGAGCUACUACCAUUCUCUUUUAUUCAUGGGGUGUUUAAUCUCACCUAUAAAUAGAUGCUGACCAGUAGAAAUUCAGUUUAAUAGGACCAAAUAUUUCAGGACAGCCAAGGGCAUCCACAUAUUCUGUUCCACCUCGAACUAGAAGAAACCUUCCUGUAGAAGCUGCUGGACUCAGAUGGGUCUACACUGACUUCCUGGAGCCUGUGUGCAUCCAGCCCUCCCUGCUCUAGGUGGGGAAUGUCAUUGUUGUACUGAAGGGCUUUCGCUCAUUCACUUUCAAAUCAAAUUUGUUUUUUUCCGCAUGUAGCCUGCACUGAGUUGGGACAGCCUUCCCUGCAGUCCUGUACCACCUGCAGUCUAUUGUGUGGCAAUUCCUCAAAGUCUGCAGAACAGAUACAAUUUUUUGUUUUGCUAUGUCAUCCACAUGGUAACUGGUGUUUCAGCCAAAGUCUAACCUGGAAACAGAAACCACCUGAUUAUUUAGACCAGAGAAUCUUUAAUGCAGGGAAUGGGCUACCCACAGAGAUGGGGUCAUGAAAGCAACAGCAGGAAGCCGCCACCAUGCCCAGGUUGGAGGACAGGGGCGCAAGGUCACCCAUGCAGGAAUGCUAGGCCUGAUUACCCGGAUUCUCCCUCCACCUCCCCCUGCAGCUGCCAGAAGAGACCUGCCCAGGAAGAGGGAACCCAACCUCUCCCUUCAGUUCUCCAAGCUCCUCUGGCGCCUCCUAUCGGCUUAACCUGGCUGUCAACAGGGCCCAGAACCUGGGAAACUGAGUUUAUGGUCAGCCUCCUUCUGCACCCAGAUAGAGCAGGGAGAGGUUAAAGGAAGGAUCUGCAGGCAAACCGGCCCAGGGCCAGCAGGCUCCUCCCCAUCCAAAUCACUUUUAAAACCCGGGUGCACUCACCAAGAUUUCUGUGAAUCCCCAGGAGAGCUGUUCAGGUCCA
Molecule: non-coding RNA, 1392 nt
Organism: Microcebus murinus (gray mouse lemur)
Lineage: Eukaryota; Metazoa; Chordata; Mammalia; Primates; Cheirogaleidae
Source: RefSeq, a predicted model, not a curated record